Raphanus sativus (radish) is the source of this 935-nucleotide long non-coding RNA. RefSeq lists it as uncharacterized. The record is from RefSeq and is a predicted model, not a curated record. The transcript is spliced from 2 exons. NCBI's taxonomy places the organism in Eukaryota, Viridiplantae, Streptophyta, Magnoliopsida, Brassicales, Brassicaceae.
UAGCUUUGAUCGAGUCUGAGAAAAGAGAAAAGAGAAUAUUAGGAAAGCAUUAAUCUCCGAUAAGCAAUAUGUAGCUUAGGUAUCUUGUUUUUCAGCUUGUAAGGGAUUUGAAAUGUUUGCAACAAGAACAUACUGAGGUGAAGUCUACUCCUGAGUAAAAUUCGUUUAGUUGUGGGUAUUAAAGGAGACAAGGCUUUAUAGGUGGAUAGGAGAUAAGAGGGGAAUUGCUGAAGAGAAGCUUUUUAAGUGAUUAGUAGAAAGAGUUCUGAUUGGAAAGGAAACUUAAGGAGGUGGAGACUCACGAAAUGGUGCUCCUCAAAGGGAGCUGCAUAUGGAAGAUAAGGAAGCGACAACAACAACAGGAACAGGCUAGGCUUCUAGAAGAAAUACAGAAAAAAAAACACAAAGGUGGUGAUAGCGAUGAAGACAGCAUCACAAACUGGUGGACGUUGGAAGAAGAGACAGACAAGCUCUUUCAGUCUCUCUGGCACCUGAGCAAAGCAGAUAAUUAUCUCAGGGAAAGUGGAAAUGCUGUAAGAUUCAUUAGUAGAGGCAGUAACACAUGAAGAUAUUUUAAGUUUGAAGCAGAGACUGAGUUCAAGGAUUACACGUAGUGGAAAGAGGUCAGUGAAAUAAAAGAGCAUAUUCAGUUAAAAAAAAAAAGAAAUAAAAGAGCAUAGUGGUGAAGAGGAUGAUUGGAACUUUCACUCUUUCAGCAUGAUUAAAAAAAGCUUUGGGUCUUUUUCACAGCCUAAUCAUUUUCUCCCUCUCUUUUUCUGAAAGACAAAACUAUCUCAUAAGUAGAAGCUUCCUGAGAAAAAAAACAUCUUGUUAUUUGUUGUUUAUUUACUUUCUUUUCCAAGCAACUGAAACAAAAGCAAGUGUAAUCUUGGAAGCUAAGGGCUUUGUAGGAAAUGCAAUGUUUGAUUCAAAUA